UACAGAGGGUGCAAGCGUUGUUCGGAAUUAUUGGGCGUAAAGAGCUCGUAGGCGGUCUGUCGCGUCGAUCGUGAAAACUUGGGGCUUAACCCUGAGCUUGCGGUCGAUACGGGCAUGACUGGAGUUCGGCAGGGAGACUGGAAUUCCUGGUGUAGCAGUGAAAUGCGUAGAUAUCAAGAGGAACACCAGUGGCGAAGGCGAGUCCCUGGACGAUACCUGACACUGAGGCACGAAAGCAUGGGGAGCAAACAGG
This 253-nucleotide ribosomal RNA is filed under the name uncultured bacterium. RNAcentral's name for it is "partial 16S ribosomal RNA". It matches the Rfam family "Bacterial small subunit ribosomal RNA", at positions 524 to 776 of the family's 1533-position model. The record is from RNAcentral.